AGUGAACGCUGGCGGUAGGCCUAACACAUGCAAGUCGAACGGCAGCACAGUAAGAGCUUGCUCUUACGGGUGGCGAGUGGCGGACGGGUGAGGAAUACAUCGGAAUCUACUUUUUCGUGGGGGAUAACGUAGGGAAACUUACGCUAAUACCGCAUACGACCUACGGGUGAAAGCGGGGGAUCUUCGGACCUUGCGCGAUUGAAUGAGCCGAUGUCGGAUUAGCUAGUUGGCGGGGUAAAGGCCCACCAAGGCGACGAUCCGUAGCUGGUCUGAGAGGAUGAUCAGCCACACUGGAACUGAGACACGGUCCAGACUCCUACGGGAGGCAGCGGUGGGGAAUAUUGGACAAUGGGCGCAAGCCUGAUCCAGCCAUACCGCGUGGGUGAAGAAGGCCUUCGGGUUGUAAAGCCCUUUUGUUGGGAAAGAAAAGCAGCAGGUUAAUACCCCGCUGUUCUGACGGUACCCAAAGAAUAAGCACCGGCUAACUUCGUG
RNAcentral lists this ribosomal RNA (492 nucleotides) under uncultured bacterium. Its description in RNAcentral is "partial 16S ribosomal RNA". It matches the Rfam family "Bacterial small subunit ribosomal RNA", at positions 29 to 507 of the family's 1533-position model. The record is from RNAcentral.